Long non-coding RNA from Carlito syrichta (Philippine tarsier), 230 nucleotides. RefSeq lists it as uncharacterized. NCBI's taxonomy places the organism in Eukaryota, Metazoa, Chordata, Mammalia, Primates, Tarsiidae. The record is from RefSeq and is a predicted model, not a curated record. The transcript has 3 exons.
GGGGGCCGUGCUCCGGGGCCGGGGCGGCGGGGGACCGCGGCGCGAGCCUCAGAUAGCAUCAGAAACAGCAGCAGCAAUGUUUCACUUCUUCAGGAAGCCUCCGGAGUCUAAAAAGCCCUCAGUACCAGAGACAGAAGCAGAUGGAUUUGUCCUGUUAGGAGAUACAGCAAAUGACCAAAGAAUGGCAGCAGGAGGUAACAGUUCAGGAGCAGAAGGCACCCAACCUUUGG